Molecule: long non-coding RNA, 677 nt
Organism: Hypanus sabinus (Atlantic stingray)
Lineage: Eukaryota; Metazoa; Chordata; Chondrichthyes; Myliobatiformes; Dasyatidae
Exons: 3
Source: RefSeq, a predicted model, not a curated record
AGAACAAACGUGUCCGCAAAUCUGGAUCAAAAAUGAAGACCGGUGUUAUUUCAUAUCCAAGAUCGCAAAUACUUAUGAUGGAGCGAGGCAACAUUGUUCAGAAUUUGAUUCAGGGCUCCUCGAAAUAAAUUCAAACAAGGAAAAGAAUUUUGUUUCUAAUGCUGUCUAUCAAUCUGUAUCAUACUGGAUCGGAAAAUGCGCAAACAGAAAUGUGGCCUCUGAUCUUCUGUACAAGAUAUCCUAUGGGUCGACCAGCUGCAGUAACUGCGGCUCGUACGGGAGUUAUAAUUGCAAAUGGAAACACAGAUUCAUCUGCGAGAAGUCGGCACAUUUAGACACGGAUAUUCCUGAAGAGAUCCAAGGUUUCUGUCAACAGCCCGUGGGGCCGAGUUCAAUCAACUGACUGCACCUCACUUCUCGCCAUUCAAUCUGCCCCACUCUCAAACCAUUUCUACAUCUCCCCCUUUCUACUGUUUUUUCUCUUUUUACCCUUCAUCUCUCUAACUCACUCCCUUUCCACCCCUCCUCUCCCGAUCGAACCCCAGUCUCUGCCUCUCCUCUCUCCGUUCUCUAUACACACUCUCAACCAAGGGGAAAAAAGACUGUGCACAUUCACCCUAUCUGUGCCCCUCCUGGCUUCAUACCCACGCUCCAACGAAUAUAGACACAUCCUUCUU